RNAcentral lists this non-coding RNA (22 nucleotides) under Arabidopsis thaliana (thale cress). The record is from RNAcentral. Lineage: Eukaryota; Viridiplantae; Streptophyta; Magnoliopsida; Brassicales; Brassicaceae.
UAGCGGAUAGUUUCUUCCCGAU